UAGUACAUGAUGUUACAUAAUAGCCCUCACCUUAGAAAUGUGUAUAAGUUAUUUUUAUGAACACUAGCUGCUCAAAUGGACUCCAAAUCUGAAAUCAGGUCGAAAAAUCAAGUUAGAACACCCUUCCAACAGUUGAAAACGGGUAAGUGCUGCUAUGGUCAUAGUCAACAUAACAGUCAACCCGAUCAUCUCUGACCCAAGUCGGUCAACCACUAACUAUAUUGAAAUCGAUUUGACCAACCAGUUUUUCCUAACCAAAACUUAUUUCACUUGGAUCAAACUGAAUUUCUGUUACCAACAGGUUUAAUCCAACCCCAAAAAAAUUCGAAAACCAAACUGGUUUAACCAAAGCAAAACCAAAUCCAACUAAACUAACUGGUU
This 381-nucleotide long non-coding RNA is filed under the name Brassica napus (rape). RNAcentral describes it as "long non-coding RNA (BNAP_LNC003199)". Lineage: Eukaryota; Viridiplantae; Streptophyta; Magnoliopsida; Brassicales; Brassicaceae. The record is from RNAcentral.